Syngnathus acus (greater pipefish) is the source of this 606-nucleotide long non-coding RNA. RefSeq lists it as uncharacterized. The record is from RefSeq and is a predicted model, not a curated record. Lineage: Eukaryota; Metazoa; Chordata; Actinopteri; Syngnathiformes; Syngnathidae. The transcript has 2 exons.
CAUGAAUAACUUCUUCGGGGAAUGCUGCCGAAUGACGUUGAAACGAGUAGAAUUACUUGAAAAAUGAAGAAAAUUUGGAGAAAUUGUGGUGAAUUUCAAAAUGGAAAGUUUGGAAUAUUUGGUAAGUGCGAAGUUGUGGAAUAGGUAGGCAAAAGAUGAACAGUUGAAAGUUGGAAUAGGUAGAAUCGGUUGAAAAACGUAGAAAUUAGAGUAGAAAAACGGAAUUGUAUAAAUUUCGAAUUAUUGGUAAGUGAGAAGUUGUGGAAUAGUUAGGCAUAAGAUGCAUGAGCUAAAUGUUGAAACGGGUUGAAUGGGUGGCAAAAUGAAGAAAUUAGAAAGGAAAAACGCUGUCAAAUGACACUGAAUGAUGUAUACAUGAAGUGGGAUUGAGCUGAACCUGUUGAUGUUGGGACAAUACAAAUUGGUUAAAGAAAAUUGGAAACUGCAGGUGAAUAUGUACAUUUUAGAAAAAGCAGUAAGCAAGAAAACCAGUAAGCGAGUAAAAACAGUACAUACGCAAGAAAUAUUAGUCAACAAGAAACAGUCAGCAAGAUAACUAGUAAGAAUCAAAUCUGAAUCUGUUCUUAUUAGGCAUAACAUGUGCAU